RNAcentral lists this long non-coding RNA (1181 nucleotides) under Heterocephalus glaber (naked mole-rat). Its description in RNAcentral is "lncRNA (ENSHGLG00100049212.1)". Lineage: Eukaryota; Metazoa; Chordata; Mammalia; Rodentia; Bathyergidae. The record is from RNAcentral.
GCUCCCCAAGGGCCUCUCAGUCAUGUGGAAUAAGUGGAUGUUAUUAAGGAGGAAAGCUCUGACGAAAGCUAGACUUGAAAGGAUCUGUUUGCUUACUGUGGGGUGACACAGAAAAUGGACAGGCCAGGUGGAGGGAAUGAGAGUGAACUAAACUGGGGGCGCACUAGCGCACACAUUUGAGAUGUCCUUUGGAGACGUCAGCAAUGUCUGACGUUUACUGGAACGUGAUGUGCAUCAAUUCCUGCUCCAGUCUCCUGACGACUCUUUAAUCACCGCUGUUAUCCAGGCCUGUGAUGGACGUCAUGGCGGACAUCAGGGUUGGAGCUGGCAACAGAAGGGGACUGAAUCAUGACGGAGCCAGGAACGACGACAGCUAGAAAGGCCAGGGCUCCCACUAGCCACUGCGCCCAAUGAUGUCAUUUCCUCCCACUAGGCCCUGCCUCCUCAAGGUGCCAAGACUCUCACCGGUGGGUGGCUCUCGAAAUCCAAACUGCGUGGUUUGAUUGAAGAGGAAUUGAAAACCCAGCACAGCUUCCUGCCUUGGACAAUUCCUGAUCAUACUUGGUACUUGGAGGGAUGCCAAAAAACUGAGUGUGAGUCUUGGGAGAAGGAAGGUGCUCCAAGGAAAAAGCUGCCUCAUGUUAUUCCCUUCAGCUUGGCUCUUCUACCUGGAAGCAGAAGUGACUAGAAGGUAUGGCAGUUUUCAUUUUGAGAACAAACUGAAAGGAUUUGGGCUCUUCAUCAUGCAGGGGUCAAAAAGAAAUGGGAACGCCAGGCUAAAUGAGAGGCCCCAUGGCACAGCAGCCAGAAACGAACUGAAUGCUGCACCAGGCUCCCAUCAGAACAUGAGAAAGGACAGAACAGUUUCCACAGGAGGUGCUGAACAGGAAAUGGGGUAUUCCGUGGGUCCCCUGGGCUGGAAAUGCAAAUACUCCCAAUGAGAGUUUGUAAACAUUGUCAUUGGCCCAAAAUGAGAUGUUACAUAUACUUGAAAAACAGACCUGGUGCAGACUUUUGAGGUCAUGAAGAGGAAUAAAUCUGUAAUUGUGGGCUGGGUAGAUCAAAUAUGUGACUUAGCAGCACCUUCCCUACAUUAUUAUGUGGAACCUUUGUGUGUCUCUGACAUCAGAAUAUAACAUUUCUCACUGUCUAUGCCUGCAUUUCUAUCCCUACGCUUUCAU